GCAGAGUAGAUUUUUGUGCGUUAAGUGCCGCCUGAACGGGGGAGUUGUCAGACGGACGAAAAGGUAAACUUGCGGUACAAAUUUCGCAUCCCGCUGC
Molecule: non-coding RNA, 97 nt
Filed under: human gut metagenome
Description: THF riboswitch
Rfam family: THF (Tetrahydrofolate) riboswitch aptamer
About the family: THF riboswitch presents a pseudoknot that joins P1-P2 and the loop of P3 and two THF binding.
Source: RNAcentral